UGCUUCGUAAAUUGUGAGUUUAUAAAC
Molecule: small RNA, 27 nt
Filed under: Bombyx mori (domestic silkworm)
Lineage: Eukaryota; Metazoa; Arthropoda; Insecta; Lepidoptera; Bombycidae
Description: ovarian small RNA-34287
Source: RNAcentral